GUGCUUACUUUGGCAGCAUAUAUACUAAAAUUGGAAUGAUACCUAGAAGGUUAGCAUGGCCCCUGUGCAAGGAUGACAUGCGAAUUUGUGAAGCAUUUCAUAUUUUU
Gracilinanus agilis (Agile Gracile Mouse Opossum) is the source of this 107-nucleotide small nuclear RNA. The record is from RefSeq and is a predicted model, not a curated record. Lineage: Eukaryota; Metazoa; Chordata; Mammalia; Didelphimorphia; Didelphidae.